RNAcentral lists this ribosomal RNA (253 nucleotides) under uncultured bacterium. RNAcentral's name for it is "partial 16S ribosomal RNA". It matches the Rfam family "Bacterial small subunit ribosomal RNA", at positions 524 to 776 of the family's 1533-position model. The record is from RNAcentral.
UACAGAGGUCUCAAGCGUUGUUCGGAUUCAUUGGGCGUAAAGGGUGCGUAGGUGGCGGGGUAAGUCAGGUGUGAAAUUUCGGAGCUUAACUCCGAAACUGCAUUUGAUACUGCCUUGCUUGAGGACUGGAGGGGAGACUGGAAUUCACGGUGUAGCAGUGAAAUGCGUAGAGAUCGUGAGGAAGACCAGUGGCGAAGGCGGGUCUCUGGACAGUUCCUGACACUGAGGCACGAAGGCCAGGGGAGCAAACGGG